Molecule: long non-coding RNA, 326 nt
Filed under: Sorghum bicolor (sorghum)
Lineage: Eukaryota; Viridiplantae; Streptophyta; Magnoliopsida; Poales; Poaceae
Description: long non-coding RNA (SBIC_LNC017785)
Source: RNAcentral
AGUAUUAUUGCGUUAAAGGCAUGGGACUAUGCAAAAAUUUGAUUCGAAAAAAAGAAGUGAGACGAUAGGUAAAAAUGGACAAGUGUCCGAAGUAGAAUUAGGGGUACAAAGAUACCCACCUGAGUAGAAAAAAUGGACACGUGUUCGAUAGUAGAAUUAGGGGUACUUGGUGCCCACUUAAAAAAAGAAUGAAAAAAAUGAUAGCCCAUGGUCCCUCUAAUAAGCAAUAUGCCAGUAAUAGAUGACAAACUUUUCAAAAAGGUCAAAGGUCUUGAUCUAGGAGUAGACAUUCAUCUCCCUUGCUCCGAGCAUUGACAUAGCAAAAU